RNAcentral lists this ribosomal RNA (254 nucleotides) under uncultured bacterium. Its description in RNAcentral is "partial 16S ribosomal RNA". It matches the Rfam family "Bacterial small subunit ribosomal RNA", at positions 524 to 776 of the family's 1533-position model. The record is from RNAcentral.
UACGAAGGGGGGCUAGCGUUGUUCGGAAUUACUGGGCGUAAAGCGCGCGCAGGCGGUUUCUCAAGUCAGUGGUGAAAGCCCGGAGCUCAACUCCGGAACUGCCAUUGAAACUGGCGAACUUGAGUACGAGAGAGGUGAGUGGAAUUCCCAGUGUAGAGGUGAAAUUCGUAGAUAUUGGGAAGAACACCAGUGGCGAAGGCGGCUCACUGGCCCGAUACUGACGCUGAGGCACGAAAGCGUGGGGAGCAAACAGG